CUGGCUUCCUGGUUCCUCCCUGCCUCCCGCACCCAUAAGAGUCAGUUCUCUCUCAGUCACACAUCCACGACAGCCUCACUCUGGCUCUGUUCCCCAGGUCGCUGUUGGCUGCUGUUAACACCACCACCACUCAGAACUGGUUGACGAGGAUCUGCUCCACCAAGUUGACUCCCUCACUCACCAGCCAAACAACGCCAGCCAAACAACACCAGCCACACAACACCAGCCAAACAACACCAGCCACACAACACCAGCCGCUGCUCCACCAUGAAAUACACGCUGCUGAUAAUGCUGCUGAUGCUGUGUCUGCAGCUGACACUGGCUGCUCCACAACAUUUCUUGACACAUCCAGGACCUCAUCCAUUCGGACACAGAAGAAAUCACUUACGCUACUUCCUGCGACAUCACCGUCUACAUGGCAGCUAUCAACAACCUUAUCAAUAUGCUUAUGGAUUCGCCAACCCAUAUUACUGUUAAUGUCAACGUGUAUAGACCAGGUCACGGUAAUGUGGCUGCCACAUGUCACAAGAGAAGUGCGUUUCGGUCUGUCCUUGGCCAUUAUUAAGUCACAAUUGAUGGAGAAAAUUGAGUAAACCACAGCAAGUCAGGUCAGGUGAAGACAUGACCUAUCUUCUGACCUUAUCUCUUCAUAUGACCUGUCUUCUGACCUCAAGUCUUCACCUGACCUGUCUUCUGACUUCCUCCACAUUAAGUAUACUCUUCAGUCGUUACUUGAUAAUGUAUCAUGACGGAGUGAAACAUUAUAAGGUGAGUACUGGUUUAUUAUUGUGAAUCAAGGUGUGUACUGGUUUAUUAUUGUGAAUCAAGGUGUGUACUGGUUUAUUAUUGUGAAUCAAGGUGUGUACUGGUUUAUUAUUGUGAAUCAAGGAGUGUACUGGUUUAUUAUUGUGAAUCAAGGAGUGUACUGG
Molecule: long non-coding RNA, 929 nt
Organism: Cherax quadricarinatus
Lineage: Eukaryota; Metazoa; Arthropoda; Malacostraca; Decapoda; Parastacidae
Source: RefSeq, a predicted model, not a curated record